GUUUGCUGUUAUAAGCAGCACUAUAGCUGUUUUGCCUACAGUCAAGAAUCUGAACAGUGGAUCAUGUAUGACGACGAAACUGUUAAGGUAAAAUUGCAAUCUAUAGUCAUGUAAUCCUUCAUUAUCCUUUUUGUAGUUUGUCUAUGAUUGAUAUUUGAUGUCUAGGUAAUUGGUGGCUGGAAUGACGUCGUUUCUAUGUGUGAAAGACGAUGCCUGCAACCCCAAGUCCUCUUUUUCGAAGCUGUAAACUAGUACUUAACUGGAUUCAACUGUCAAACUUCUGCGCGUCAUUCAGUCUUGAACACAAUGCAAUGUGAUAUCUGCCAGUGUACUUUCUGAUAUUACAAAGUCAAUACGAAGGCCGGAACUGUAUCAUAAAGUCAAAUUUUUUGUUGUAUAAUGACCAGAAAUUGGAGCAAUUAUGUGUAAGAAAAGGAAUAAAGUUUGAAAAAAGGAUACCAAUGAAGAUAGAAAAAAUAGAAAAUGGGUUUUGAUGCUCACUGGAGGCUCAGUAUAAUUCGGUUUUUCUUGGCUGCUUUCUUUUAAUUCUGCGAUCUUUCUAACUUGUAUUAUUAAAGGAACCUUGCUGG
RNAcentral lists this long non-coding RNA (590 nucleotides) under Olea europaea subsp. europaea. Lineage: Eukaryota; Viridiplantae; Streptophyta; Magnoliopsida; Lamiales; Oleaceae. The record is from RNAcentral.